This 229-nucleotide ribosomal RNA is filed under the name uncultured bacterium. RNAcentral's name for it is "partial 16S ribosomal RNA". It matches the Rfam family "Bacterial small subunit ribosomal RNA", at positions 104 to 334 of the family's 1533-position model. The record is from RNAcentral.
CGGGGUGAGUAAUGUCUGGGAAACUGCCCGAUGGAGGGGGAUAACUACUGGAAACGGUAGCUAAUACCGCAUAAUGUCUGCGGACCAAAGCGGGGGACCUUCGGGCCUCUUGCCAUCGGAUGUGCCCAGAUGGGAUUAGCUAGUAGGUGGGGUAACGGCUCACCUAGGCGACGAUCCCUAGCUGGUCUGAGAGGAUGAUCAGCCACACUGGGACUGAGACACGGCCCAG